Molecule: ribosomal RNA, 139 nt
Filed under: uncultured eukaryote
Lineage: Eukaryota
Description: partial 18S ribosomal RNA
Rfam family: Eukaryotic small subunit ribosomal RNA
Source: RNAcentral
UGGUGGAGUGAUUUGUCUGGUUAAUUCCGUUAACGAACGAGACCUUAACCUGCUAGAUAGUUAUCGGAAACUCCGGUUUCUUGUUAACUUCUUAGAGGGACUUUGCGUGUUUAACGCAAGGAAGUUUGAGGCAAUAACA